RNAcentral lists this small RNA (801 nucleotides) under Arabidopsis thaliana (thale cress). Its description in RNAcentral is "ATSL182550". Lineage: Eukaryota; Viridiplantae; Streptophyta; Magnoliopsida; Brassicales; Brassicaceae. The record is from RNAcentral.
CACAUAUAGAAGAAGAAAACAUGAAACCAUACAAAAGUUUUUUACCCAAAUUAUUGAUGCAAACCAAAUGAAAAUUAAAAGAUACAAGAACAAAAGGAAAGAAGAAAUCAAAUAAAAUUUGGUAAUUUAUUUAAUUAAAAAUCCCUUUUACUCUUUUCAAGAAUAGAAAUAUGAUGGUGGAGCUGAAGUUUAGUACUCAGUUUUUGGAGAAGGUGAAUACGAAGGUGGAGGUGGGGAUUUGUAAACAUAUGGUGGUGGGGGAGAUUUGUAUUCAACCUUUGGAGAAGGAGAAUAAUAAGGUGGUGGUGGGGAACUGUAGACAUAUGGUGGUGGAGGAGACUUGUAGUCUACCACAGGAGAAGGUGAGUAAUAUGGAGGUGGUGGAGAACUGUAGACAUACGGUGGUGGAGGAGACUUGUAGUCUACCUUAGGGGAAGGUGAAUAAUAUGGUGGUGGUGGUGAACUGUAGACAUAUGGUGGUGGAGGAGAUUUGUAGUCAACCUUAGGGGAAGGUGAGUAGUAUGGUGGUGGAGGAGAACUGUAAACAUACGGUGGUGGGGGAGACUUGUAUUCUACCUUAGGAGAGGGUGAAUAGUAUGGUGGUGGUGGGGAGCUGUAGACGUAUGGUGGUGGAGGAGAUUUGUAGUGAACCUUAGGAGAAGGUGAGUAAUAUGGAGGUGGUGGAGAACUGUAGACAUAUGGUGGUGGAGGAGACUUGUAAUGUACCUUAGGAGUAGGUGCGUAGUAUGGUGGUGGAGGAGAUUUGUAGUGCACCUUAGGGGAAGGUGAGUAAUAUGGUGG